ACGAACGCUGGCGGCGUGCUUAACACAUGCAAGUCGAGCGGUAAGGCCCUUUCGGGGGUACACGAGCGGCGAACGGGUGAGUAACACGUGGGUGACCUGCCCUCAGCUCUGGGAUAAGCCCGGGAAACUGGGUCUAAUACCGGAUAUGAACUCCAUGACGCAUGUUGUGGGGUGGAAAGCCUUGUGCGGACUGAGGAUGGGCCCGCGGCCUAUCAGC
Molecule: ribosomal RNA, 217 nt
Filed under: uncultured bacterium
Lineage: Bacteria
Description: partial 16S ribosomal RNA
Rfam family: Bacterial small subunit ribosomal RNA
Source: RNAcentral